This 511-nucleotide ribosomal RNA is filed under the name uncultured bacterium. RNAcentral describes it as "bacterial SSU rRNA". It matches the Rfam family "Bacterial small subunit ribosomal RNA", at positions 26 to 518 of the family's 1533-position model. The record is from RNAcentral.
AGGACGAACGCUGGCGGCGUGCCUAAUACAUGCAAGUAGAACGCUGAAGACUUUAGCUUGCUAAAGUUGGAAGAGUUGCGAACGGGUGAGUAACGCGUAGGUAACCUGCCUACUAGCGGGGGAUAACUAUUGGAAACGAUAGCUAAUACCGCAUAACAGCAUUUAACACAUGUUAGAUGCUUGAAAGGAGCAAUUGCUUCACUAGUAGAUGGACCUGCGUUGUAUUAGCUAGUUGGUGAGGUAACGGCUCACCAAGGCGACGAUACAUAGCCGACCUGGGAGGGUGAUCGGCCACACUGGGACUGAGACACGGCCCAGACUCCUACGGGAGGCAGCAGUAGGGAAUCUUCGGCAAUGGGGGCAACCCUGACCGAGCAACGCCGCGUGAGUAGAAGAAGGUUUUCGGAUCGUAAAGCUUUGUUGUAAGAGAAGAACGUGUGUGAGAGUGGAAAGUUCACACAGUGACGGUAACUUACCAGAAAGGGACGGCUAACUACGUGCCAGCAGCAGC